GACGAACGCUGGCGGCGUGCCUAAUACAUGCAAGUUGAGCGAUGAAGAUUGGUGCUUGCACCAAUUUGAAGAGCAGCGAACGGGUGAGUAACGCGUGGGGAAUCUGCCUUUGAGCGGGGGACAACAUUUGGAAACGAAUGCUAAUACCGCAUAACAACUUUAAACAUAAGUUUUAAGUUUGAAAGAUGCAAUUGCAUCACUCAAAGAUGAUCCCGCGUUGUAUUAGCUAGUUGGUGAGGUAAAGGCUCACCAAGGCGAUGAUACAUAGCCGACCUGAGAGGGUGAGCGGCCACAUUGGGACUGAGACACGGCCCAAACUCCUACGGGAGGCAGCAGUAGGGAAUCUUCGGCAAUGGACGAAAGUCUGACCGAGCAACGCCGCGUGAGUGAAGAAGGUUUUCGGAUCGUAAAACUCGGUUGGUAGAGAAGAACGUUGGUGAGAGUGGAAAGCUCAUCAAGUGACGGUAACUACCCAGAAAGGGACGGCUAACUACGUG
RNAcentral lists this ribosomal RNA (497 nucleotides) under uncultured bacterium. RNAcentral's name for it is "partial 16S ribosomal RNA". It matches the Rfam family "Bacterial small subunit ribosomal RNA", at positions 28 to 507 of the family's 1533-position model. The record is from RNAcentral.